ACGUGAUUGUGGGAUCUGAUGGUGGCAAUUUGGUAAAACCGUAAAAGCGAGGAUUUGAUCUCUUCUCAAAUUUUCAAGUCUUCUUCGUCUCGGCUUCCGUCUGAAAGUUCCCGGAAAUGUUUCAAUAUGGGCGAUUUCGAGAUGUCGACGGCCUUGAAGAAUGCCUAUGCGUAUGAGGCCGCAAUACGGCGAAAGAAGCGGUGGCGUUGAUCAUGGUUUUGGAGAAGAAAGCCUCAGAUUGGAGAACCAGACGCUGUAGUGAUAAUCAAAGAUAUUGGGUAAGAGUUGCGAGAAGUUACAAGUAAAUUGGAGAAAGUGAUGAACAGGAAAUACAAACUGUGAAUGAGAAUAAAUUGGUGGGAAAUAUUACUACCAAGAUAGACAUAUCAUUACGGCCUCAGAAUUCUCUUGGUCGUAGUGAGUCCACGAUUAUCUUAAAUGGUUCUCCUCUGGAACAAGCGACAUCUCAUGACUUGUGGAAUGGACAUGUCAGGCUAAUGAUUCCUCUCAUGAAAUACUUAGCAGAACUGCAGAAGAGAUGAUAAAACCUAAGCGACAUGAGCAAACGUGUGUGUUGAAUAUGAACGUGAUGCAGAAAGAUGAUACUGAUACUUGAGUGAGACUUUUCAGAAAAAGAAAAAGAGUACUCAGACAUGGGAUUAAAUAUUAUCCUUUAAACAGGCAACGUUUAAACAUUUACUUUCUCAAGCACACAGUUUGUAGAAAGCACAAGGACUUGUUGAAUAAUUCAGAUGGUAAUUCUUCUUGAAAUUGGAGCAUUUAAAAAGGAAGAUGGGGACGGUAGAGACUUAGAACAGAAGCUUCAUGGUUGAAAUAUUUUAAGACAGUCGGCAACCACCAUGCUUAGCACGUCAGCUUGAUCCAGGCCAAAAUGGUGGCAGUGUUAUGUACAAUACAGAACUGGAUAAGGUUGGAGGAAGAAGCCCUUCCAUUAAUUUUUAAGAUAGUUUUGAGUAAGCUGUAAUGUUCACUACAUCUAACAGUUGAAAGUCUGAAAGUUACCGAGGGUUAAAGUCGGUAGGUGGAAAUGGAAAAGGGUAAAUAUUCUCUCCCAUCCAUGAUUAACUUUUUCAGAUCAGUUUGAUGUGAUACGGCAACAGCAAGCACGGAAAACUCUAAAAUCAAUUUUUUCUUCUGUAA
Molecule: long non-coding RNA, 1161 nt
Organism: Cucurbita pepo subsp. pepo (vegetable marrow)
Lineage: Eukaryota; Viridiplantae; Streptophyta; Magnoliopsida; Cucurbitales; Cucurbitaceae
Source: RefSeq, a predicted model, not a curated record